Molecule: unclassified non-coding RNA, 336 nt
Filed under: soil metagenome
Description: partial contains 5.8S ribosomal RNA, internal transcribed spacer 2, and large subunit ribosomal RNA
Rfam family: 5.8S ribosomal RNA (bases 1-120)
Source: RNAcentral
GAUGAAGAACGUAGCGAAAUGCGAUACGUAGUGUGAAUUGCAGAAUUCAGUGAAUCAUCGAAUCUUUGAACGCACAUUGCACCUCUCGGUAUUCCGGGAGGUAUGCCUGUUCGAGCGUCAUUUGUACCCUCAAGCUCUGCUUGGUGUUGGGUGUUUGUUCCGCCUCUGUGUGUGAACUCGCCUCAAAACAAUUGGCAGCCGGCGUAUUGAUUUCGGAGCGCAGUACAUCUCGCGCUUUGCACUCAUAACGACAGCGUCCAAAAGUACAUUUUACACUCUUGACCUCGGAUCAGGUAGGGAUACCCGCUGAACUUAAGCAUAUCAAUAAGCGGAGGA